AUAGAACCGGCUGCUGUGGCGAUUAUUGAUUGCUGGGAGAGGGGGAAGCUGCAUGGACACCCCCCGCCGCACGCUGCCUUUGAGGGUGUUUAAGGUUUUUGAGGGUGUUUAAGGUUUAAGAGGGUGUUUAAGGUUAAUUUUUUUUUAACCAAAAGGCUAGCAAACUACCCCCUGAGCCAAACUGGGGGGGAGGGGGUUCGAAGGGGUGCUGGACCGAACAGGCCAGCCGGUUCCCUGCACACCCCUAGGAGAGAGACGACUAGCUCCGCAUGAGCUGGAUACUAAAUAUCCUCUCAUUUAGUAUCCAGCUUGGGUACUAAACAAGACACUGGGAAGUUCGCCUCUUUCCUGCAAGGAGAGAGGCAAACUUUCUAGUGCCUCGUGAGCUGGAUGCUAUAUGAGAGACCCACGUGUGCCCCAAUGCUUUAAUCAGAGCACAUGCGGGCCUCUCAUUUAGUAUCCAGUUCGUGUGAGGCUGGAAAGGUCGAGAGUGUCUCUCUUUGCUUGAACGAGGAGGGAGGUGAUAGAACUCUUGAGUGCUACCCAUGUUGGAUACUGACCAGGGUGUGUGUGAAGAGUGGCGGCUGAGGGGGAUUGCAGGGGUGGUUGGGCCUGGUCGUGGGGCCUGGGAGAGUGUGGGGCUGGAGGCAAUCACCCUGCUCACCCCUCCCAAAGGACAGGCCUGGGCCUUUAACAUCAAAUUCUACUCGCUUUUAUCAAAGCUUGUUUUAUCAUCAGUUCAAAGCUUGUUUUACACCAGCCUGGAAGAUACUGAGUUCACAUGCUGCAAUGGAAGCCUGAAUGCACACGAAUGGAGCCAACAACUCAGGGACUCCCGACAUUCCAGAGCUCUGUGGGCUGAACUGCUGCUGAUGGAAAGGAGGGCUGGAGAUCUUCUCCUGCACAAACGACCCUGGGGAUGGUUCUGUGGACGACAGAGUAGGCCAGGAAGACGGCUGGCUUUGCUGGCACUGCUGGACCAAGGCAUGCUGCUGUCGGUUGGCUGCUAUUUGUUUCAACUGCUGAGCGUGAGAAACCUCUUGCCAGUUGGCCAAAGGUCGGUUGGAAACUGAAGACAACUGAGAGGGAGGCGUUUGAGUCUGAGGCACCGAAGGAAUUGGUGAUGAGGUGGACAUGGCAGCACCGGACAUGGGAAGAAGAUCUGACUGGGGGAGCUCUCUGGAUCUGCUGCCCAAGGUCAAUGUUAAAAGGCUCAUCUUGCUUAAUGGUGGCGUUGAUCAUGUUCUCUAGUUCAAGAUCACUCAUGGGCGGCACCGAAAUAUUAGUCAGUUCAUUGAAUAGCUCCUGAAGUUCUGGGUC
This is a long non-coding RNA of Hemicordylus capensis (graceful crag lizard), 1320 nucleotides long. RefSeq lists it as uncharacterized. Lineage: Eukaryota; Metazoa; Chordata; Lepidosauria; Squamata; Cordylidae. The record is from RefSeq and is a predicted model, not a curated record. The transcript has 3 exons.